This 327-nucleotide ribosomal RNA is filed under the name Micropterix calthella. RNAcentral describes it as "eukaryotic LSU rRNA". It matches the Rfam family "Eukaryotic large subunit ribosomal RNA", at positions 655 to 944 of the family's 3401-position model. Lineage: Eukaryota; Metazoa; Arthropoda; Insecta; Lepidoptera; Micropterigidae. The record is from RNAcentral.
UGAAACACGGACCAAGGAGUCUAGCAUGUGCGCGAGCCAUUGGGAUCUAGCGAAACCCACAGGCGCAAUGAAAGUGAAGGCCGCGCCUCGCGCCGGCUUCGGGACGAUGGUGAGCGGCGUCGCCGUUCUCCCGCACUCCCGGGGCGUCUUGUCCGCAAUCUGUCGGACUGGGCGCACCGAUAGCGUAAAUGCUGGUACCCGAAAGAUGGUGAACUAUGCCUGGUCAGGUCGAAGUCAGGGGAAACUCUGAUGGAGGACCGUAGCGAUUCUGACGUGCAAAUCGAUCGUCUGAACUGGGUAUAGGGGCGAAAGACUAAUCGAACCAUC